GCCUGGAUAGCUCAGUUGGUUAGAGCGUGGUGCUGGUAACGCCAAAGUUGCAGGUUCGAUCCCCAUAAGAGACUUGGGAGCA
Molecule: transfer RNA, 82 nt
Filed under: Podarcis lilfordi (Lilford's wall lizard)
Lineage: Eukaryota; Metazoa; Chordata; Lepidosauria; Squamata; Lacertidae
Description: tRNA.Thr
Rfam family: tRNA (bases 8-66)
About the family: Transfer RNA (tRNA) molecules are approximately 80 nucleotides in length.
Source: RNAcentral